GGACAUUACAGAGUUAUAAAACUCCCAAACCCUUGUGAACAUACCCGUUACAGUUGCUUCGGCGGGCGGCCCCAGGGCGGGGCCGCAGCCUCCUAGCGAGGCGCCCGCCGGAGGUAUCUAAACUCUUGUUUUAUACUGGCUCUCUGAGUAAUUUUUAAAUAAGUUAAAACUUUCAACAACGGAUCUCUUGGUUCUGGCAUCGAUGAAGAACGCAGCGAAAUGCGAUAAGUAAUGUGAAUUGCAGAAUUCAGUGAAUCAUCGAAUCUUUGAACGCACAUUGCGCCCGCUAGUAUUCUAGCAGGCAUGCCUGUUCGAGCGUCAUUUCAACCCUCAAGCACUGCUUGGUGUUGGGGUCCUAUAACUAAUAGGCCCUGAAAAUCAUUGGCGGGCUCGCUAUAAUUCCGAGCGUAGUAGUAAUAUCUCGUUUAGGACGUAUAGCGGGUUCUGGCCGUUAAACCCCUAUUUUUACAAUGGUUGACCUCGGAUCAGGUAGGAAUACCCGCUGAACUUAAGCAUAUCAAUAA
This 524-nucleotide small RNA is filed under the name Cordana mercadiana. Its description in RNAcentral is "eukaryotic LSU rRNA". The stretch from base 168 to 321 matches the Rfam family "5.8S ribosomal RNA". The record is from RNAcentral. Lineage: Eukaryota; Fungi; Ascomycota; Sordariomycetes; Coniochaetales; Cordanaceae.